This 253-nucleotide ribosomal RNA is filed under the name uncultured bacterium. RNAcentral's name for it is "partial 16S ribosomal RNA". It matches the Rfam family "Bacterial small subunit ribosomal RNA", at positions 524 to 776 of the family's 1533-position model. The record is from RNAcentral.
UACGUAGGGUGCGAGCGUUGUCCGGAAUUACUGGGCGUAAAGAGCUUGUAGGUGGUUUGUCGCGUUGUUUGUGAAAUCUCACGGCUCAACUGUGAGCGUGCGGGCGAUACGGGCAGACUAGAGUACUGCAGGGGAGACUGGAAUUCCUGGUGUAGCGGUGGAAUGCGCAGAUAUCAGGAGGAACACCGGUGGCGAAGGCGGGUCUCUGGGCAGUAACUGACGCUGAGAAGCGAAAGCGUGGGGAGCGAACAGG